GCUCUCGUCGUUCAACGGAUAGGAUAGCCCCCUCCGAAGGGGCUGAUGACGGUUCGAUUCCGUCCGAGAGCA
This 72-nucleotide transfer RNA is filed under the name Minisyncoccota bacterium. RNAcentral's name for it is "tRNA-Arg". It matches the Rfam family "tRNA". Rfam says of the family: Transfer RNA (tRNA) molecules are approximately 80 nucleotides in length. Their secondary structure includes four short double-helical elements and three loops (D, anti-codon, and T loops). RNAcentral also lists the same sequence under 1 other name. Lineage: Bacteria; Bacillati; Minisyncoccota. The record is from RNAcentral.